AACGAACGUGGACGGCAGGCUUAACACAUGCAAGUCGAGCGGGCGUAGAAUACGUCAGCGGCAGACGGGUGAGUAACGCGUGGAAACGUACCUUUUGGUUCGGAACAACACAGGGAAACUUGUGCUAAUACCGGAUAAGCCCUUACGGGGAAAGAUUUAUCGCCGAAAGAUCGGCCCGCUUCUAAUUAGCUAGUUGGUGGGGUAACGGCCCACCAAGGCGACGAUCAGUAGCUGGUCUGAGAGGAUGAUCAGCCACAUUGGGACUGAGACACGGCCCAAACUCCUACGGGAGGCAGCAGUGGGGAAUAUUGGACAAUGGGCGCAAGCCUGAUCCAGCCAUGCCGCGUGAGUAAUAAAGGCCCUAGGGUUGUAAAGCUCUUUUGUGCGGGAAGAUAAUGACGGUACCGCAAGAAUAAGCCCCGGCUAACUUCGUGC
RNAcentral lists this ribosomal RNA (435 nucleotides) under uncultured Alphaproteobacteria bacterium. RNAcentral describes it as "bacterial SSU rRNA". It matches the Rfam family "Bacterial small subunit ribosomal RNA", at positions 29 to 508 of the family's 1533-position model. The record is from RNAcentral. Lineage: Bacteria; Pseudomonadati; Pseudomonadota; Alphaproteobacteria.